GAUGAACGCUGGCGGCGUGCUUAACACAUGCAAGUCGAGCGAAGCGCUUAAGUUUGAUUCUUCGGAUGAAGACUUUUGUGACUGAGCGGCGGACGGGUGAGUAACGCGUGGGUAACCUGCCUCGUACAGGGGGAUAACAGUUAGAAAUGGCUGCUAAUACCGCAUAAGACCACAGGAUCGCAUGAUCCGGUGGUAAAAACUCCGGUGGUAUGAGAUGGACCCGCGUCUGAUUAGCUAGUUGGUGGGGUAACGGCUCACCAAGGCGACGAUCAGUAGCCGACCUGAGAGGGUGACCGGCCACAUUGGGACUGAGACACGGCCCAAACUCCUACGGGAGGCAGCAGUGGGGAAUAUUGCACAAUGGGCGAAAGCCUGAUGCAGCGACGCCGCGUGAAGGAUGAAGUAUUUCGGUAUGUAAACUUCUAUCAGCAGGGAAGAAAAUGACGG
RNAcentral lists this ribosomal RNA (447 nucleotides) under uncultured bacterium. Its description in RNAcentral is "bacterial SSU rRNA". It matches the Rfam family "Bacterial small subunit ribosomal RNA", at positions 28 to 457 of the family's 1533-position model. The record is from RNAcentral.